Long non-coding RNA from Triticum aestivum (bread wheat), 1421 nucleotides. RefSeq lists it as uncharacterized. The record is from RefSeq and is a predicted model, not a curated record. NCBI's taxonomy places the organism in Eukaryota, Viridiplantae, Streptophyta, Magnoliopsida, Poales, Poaceae. The transcript is spliced from 2 exons.
UUCUCGAGAAAACUCAUCCACACGCCGCUCCACCGCUCUACAUAUACUUAUAAAAGGCUCCAUCUCCGCCUCGCUUUCUCCCCUACCCGAAAAUUGCUUCACGGCAACCCUCCUUUCCAUGGUGCAUCAGUGCCUUGUUGCUGUAUGAUUAAUUGGCUGUCGAUGUCGCGGUCGCUUUGAGAUGGAUGCUGCGCCGUGCUGGACGCCUGCGGGGGUGAGCCGCUGCCAGGCCGAAUGCCAUCGACGUCGUGCCGCUGGAGGGCAUCGUGGCUGCGCUCGCCUGCAGGGCCACAGGUAGCCAGGCCAGACGGCGCCGCUGUGUUGGUAUGCAGCAGCGGCACCGUGCUGUCUGCCUAGGUGUUGUCUUCCUCGACUUCCGUCGCUCCGGGUCUGCAUCUAGCGCCGCGUUUUCGACCUCUCCGACUAAGCCACACGGUUGCCACCCACAUGCACCGCUCAGGCACUCCCAGUCCAGCCUCGGUGGUUAACCGGCUGCUCUGCGGUUCCCCCAUUGAGGGAGGGGGUUAACUUUGUUUGAUUCUAUUUUCUCUGGUUCACCCUCACGGCUGCGCUUCUUUCUCUGUCGCGGCAAGAGUCGCCGUUCAGGGACGUUACAUGGAUCUGGGUGCCAGAGCAGGUCGGGGCAUGGAGGCCUGUGAUCAAUAAUGCUAAACAUAGGAAGGUUUACAUGCUUUUACACGCUGACUAUGGUUUUUUUAAACAAACUAACCUCCUGAUUUUCAUGGGGUGGGGCCCCUUCUCCCGUUUAAUCUUCAAUCAAAACCCACCUUUAUGUAAAAACAUAUAGCCUUUCGUAUAUGUAGCAUUACCCGGCCUGUGAUGGACAUCGUGCAUGCAAAGGGCGGGCAGCAGCCAGUAGGUUAGCCCGCUUCGACGGCUGACAUCGACGAGGAGGCAGGGCUCCGAGGAGAUGUCCAACGUCAUUGACAGGUUCGGACGUGCCGACUAGAGCGUCGUCGAAGCCCGUACGUGCAAGCACGUGCGCACGAAAAUGCUGCUUCGGUCAGUAUUCUGGCCUUUGCUGCACUCACGCCUUGCCAUGGCAGUCCUUGACGGUGUGAAGAUUCUUGGUGCCAAAGGCUACUUCCUGGAUGAUGAACACGAUCGCAAAGAAGCCAGGCGGCCGGUGGAGGUUCGCAGGUGAUGGAUGCCGGCUGGUGCAUGCGUCCAGGACGUGGUCACCAGGUGGGCAUGCGGCUGCAGCAGUAUAGUUCACGACUGAGCCCUCCAAAUGAGCACGCGCUGGUGCUACGCGUCGUGAGCCUUCUCAACGGCCACGGCGUGAUCUUUUUUUUUUUUUUGAGGGGAAAGAUCGCCGCUUUAUUAACUAAGUGUAGCUCGGAAUGUCAUCCGAAAUUACAUCCAAGAUGCAGUCUGGGGGAACCCCCAACCAAACCUUA